CAAUAGCCUAACGGCUGAACCAGCAACUUGGAGGAAUGUAUAGCGAUAGCUAAUUGCAUCGAAAAUAUGAUGCAAGAUCGAUUUAUUGAAUAAAAUUCUGGGUAGAAUUAUGAUUAUGACAUUGUCUACCCAUGUGUCUUGACCAAAUUACGUGCCAGCAGUCGCGGUAAUACGUAGAAGACUAGUGUUAUUCAUCUUUAAUAGGUUUAAAGGGUACCUAGACGGUAAAUCAAGCCCUAGACGGGACUAAUUUGCUAGAGUUACUUAUGAGGGGGUUUUAAAGUACUAAUGGUGUAGAGAUGAAAUUUUGUAAUACCAUUUUUCGAAAGGAAAGUAAUGGCACAGGUAUAGGCGAAAGCAUCCCCUUAUGUGAUAACUGACGUUGAAGGACGAAGGCUUUGAGUCGCGAACAGGAUUAGAUACCCUGGUAGUCAAAGCAGAAAAUAAUGAGUGUCAUAGAUUAGAUAUUAAAGUUUAUUCUAUAAAUGAAAGUGUAAGCACUCCACCUCAAGAGUAAUUUGGCAACAUUGGAACUGAAAUCAUUAGACCGUUUCUGAAACCAGUAGUGAAGUAUGUUGUUUAAUUUGAUAAUCCGCAAAAAACCUUACCACAAUUUGAAUAUUUAUAUCGUUGAUAUAAUUACAAGCGUUGCACGGCUGUCUUCAGUUAAUGUCGUGAGAUUUUGGUUAGAUCCAUUAAAUUAACGCAAGCCCUUACUUUAUUUUAAAAUAAAGUCGUUCCCCACUAGAUUGGAUAAGAUAACAGGGAUUAAGACAAGUCAUCAUGGCCUGAAUAUUGUGGGCUAU
This 806-nucleotide ribosomal RNA is filed under the name Psora decipiens. RNAcentral describes it as "SSU rRNA". It matches the Rfam family "Bacterial small subunit ribosomal RNA", at positions 369 to 1217 of the family's 1533-position model. The record is from RNAcentral. Lineage: Eukaryota; Fungi; Ascomycota; Lecanoromycetes; Lecanorales; Psoraceae.